RNAcentral lists this ribosomal RNA (249 nucleotides) under uncultured bacterium. RNAcentral's name for it is "partial 16S ribosomal RNA". It matches the Rfam family "Bacterial small subunit ribosomal RNA", at positions 57 to 305 of the family's 1533-position model. The record is from RNAcentral.
GCAAGUCGAGGGGUAACAUUGGUGCUUGCAUCAGAUGACGACCGGCGCACGGGUGAGUAACGCGUAUACAAUCUACCUUAUACUAGGGGAUAGCCUUUAGAAAUGAAGAUUAAUACCCUAUGGUACCAUAUAGUAGCAUUAUUAAAUGGUUAAAGGUUACGGUAUAAGAUGAGUAUGCGUCCUAUUAGUUUGUUGGUAAGGUAACGGCUUACCAAGACUACGAUAGGUAGGGGCCCUGAGAGGGGGAUC